Non-coding RNA from Schistosoma margrebowiei, 45 nucleotides. The record is from Rfam. Lineage: Eukaryota; Metazoa; Platyhelminthes; Trematoda; Strigeidida; Schistosomatidae.
AUCUAACUGACAAGUCUCAAAGAGAACGAAACGCGCUUCAUGGAU